GAACCUAUGAAAACAUCUGGGUGAAAUAUUGUUCCCUUCCUCCCUCACCAUUCCAUUUUCGUCCCUCCCGAUGUGUGCUUAGUCAAAGAGGAUGACGAUAGAGGAGAAUGGGUCAUUGGUCAAGGGUAUAUGGGUAGCUGCGCUCCCCUGCUAGAACCUCCAAACAAGCUCAUGGGCAUGGUGGUGCACAUCUGUAUUUCUAGCUCUUGGGAAGCAGGGACAGGAGGAUCAUGAAUCGAAG
Unclassified non-coding RNA from Mesocricetus auratus (golden hamster), 241 nucleotides. Its record names the gene 7SK. It matches the Rfam family "7SK RNA". From Rfam's summary of the family: 7SK was discovered as an abundant small nuclear RNA in the mid-70s but a possible function has only recently been suggested. Two independent studies have found that 7SK RNA binds the CDK9/cyclin T complex (known as elongation factor P-TEFb). P-TEFb activates transcription by phosphorylating the C-terminal domain of RNA polymerase II. The record is from Ensembl. Lineage: Eukaryota; Metazoa; Chordata; Mammalia; Rodentia; Cricetidae.